CCUACGGGUGGCAGCAGCUAAGAAUAUUCCGCAAUGGAGGAAACUCUGACGGAGCAACGCCGCGUGGACGAUGAAGGCCGGAAGGUUGUAAAGUCCUUUUAUAAUUGAGGAAUAAGCGGGACAGGGAAUGGUUCCGCGGUGACUGUAGAUUAUGAAUAAGCACCGGCUAAUUACGUGCCAGCAGCCGCGGUAACACGUAAGGUGCGAGCGUUAUUCGGAAUUAUUGGGCGUAAAGGGCACGCAAGCGGCUUUGCAAGCUUGGUGUGAAAUCUCAGGGCUCAACCCUGAAACUGCAUUGAGAACUGCAUGGCUAGAGUUAGUGAGGGGAAACCGGAAUUCCAGGUGUAGGGGUGAAAUCUGUAGAUAUCUGGAAGAACACCAAUGGCGAAGGCAGGUUUCCAGCACAUAACUGACGCUCAGGUGCGAAGGUGCGGGGAUCAAACAGGAUUAGAUACCCGUGUAGUC
This 465-nucleotide ribosomal RNA is filed under the name Salmonella enterica subsp. enterica serovar Anatum. Its description in RNAcentral is "bacterial SSU rRNA". It matches the Rfam family "Bacterial small subunit ribosomal RNA", at positions 338 to 795 of the family's 1533-position model. The record is from RNAcentral. Lineage: Bacteria; Pseudomonadati; Pseudomonadota; Gammaproteobacteria; Enterobacterales; Enterobacteriaceae.